ACUUGUCCACUGACAAUUAAUUAACCUUCAGAACUGCAACUUUUAAAUGACGCUGCCUUGAACCUCAUACAUCUUUCUUCCCAGUUCAGAAGCCUGAACAAGGAGCAAGUAACAUCUGCCUGCAACCAGAGUCCAUCCCCAAAAAGAUCAUCUGUUGUUAAUGAACCUCAAGAUGUAGUGAUGUGACUUGUUCAGUGAGACCUUGUACUCCUGGCAAGCAGAAUUACUCAACAUCUUUUGUGCUGAAGCACUUCAUGUGACAAAUAUUCACCCUAGCAAAAAGGCAAGUUUAAUCAAUAGUCUUUCUUCCACUUAACAAGACUUAGCAGAAAUCAUACUGUUUUUCUCAAAGUCUAAAACAAGCAGAGAAAAAUCUGUACAGUUAGUACAGUUUGACAAGAAUGACAAUCAGAAUGACAAGACAAUCUUAGUACACUCCUAGUGCAAGACAAUCUUUCUUACAUUUCAUAAAUUAAUUUGUGGUUACAAUAACACACAUUUUAGUAUAG
Molecule: long non-coding RNA, 509 nt
Filed under: Anas platyrhynchos platyrhynchos (common mallard)
Lineage: Eukaryota; Metazoa; Chordata; Aves; Anseriformes; Anatidae
Description: lncRNA (ENSAPLG00000028688.1)
Source: RNAcentral